This 1098-nucleotide unclassified non-coding RNA is filed under the name Pomacea canaliculata. RNAcentral describes it as "uncharacterized LOC112561806, transcript variant X2". Lineage: Eukaryota; Metazoa; Mollusca; Gastropoda; Architaenioglossa; Ampullariidae. The record is from RNAcentral.
UUCAAGACGUUUAGAUGCUAAAAAUGCUGAGAAAAACGGUUUUCUCGCAACGGACGAUUAAUAAAGGUUCUGAUGACGAGAGAUCCAUCCGAGGGUCGUGAAAGCCGGUAGGACAGGAGGUGAGACAGGAGUACAGACAGGAAGCUAUCUCUACAUCGCUGCUAUAUGCUUUAUUCAACAAGAUUCGUCAACUACAGAGUACUUCGAUCUGUGAUUGUGCCCGUGUAUCAGUUUUACAAAUAUCGAACGUAUAUUGAAACCUGAGAGCAGCUGUAAUGAGUCAUCGUGGGACAGGUUAAUGAAAGAUCUGUCUCCAAGGCACCAAGGCCAUCACGUGAAAGAUGAUACAGACCAGGGGAUGGAAGUCUAGAAGUGGUGUGAUUAGAGUGGGAAAUAACACCUCACAGGAAAUAUGGUCAUCACAGUGCUGGAGGAGGGGUCAGUCAGGUGCGACGGCACAAUCAUGCGGUGGCAACGGGCAAGACAAGUAGACAAGUGGACGAACACGAGUGUAGACAGGCAGACACAGACACACAGGAAGAGGCAAGCACGCACAUACACACAUAGAGAGCUUUGGAGUGAGGAAAGGUAGAGCAAUAGAACCACUCGACAUCAGGUCUGACCACGGCGAUUACAGGUGGUUGGCGCUGUCGAGGGUGUACAGAUCUGUCGCGUCAUGCAAGCAGACCUCUCCCAGACCUCGCCCGCGUCACGCUGGCUUCCACAGGCCCCACAGUCAGCAGCAGAUCGACAGACACCCAUCAGCACCCAGUGCAGACAGGAAGCUGGUGCUGUCUGCAAGCUGGCGCGCCCACGGUGUAGCUUGGUGCUGCCACCCGCACCCACCCUAGGCGCCAGUCGUCUCCCUUUACUCACUACUCCCUUACCUGAGACAUCGUGCGCAUCCAGGUGAGAAGUUUGGCACCAGGCAGCGCAGUCAGCAACGGCUUCUGUUGUGAGCUGAGCAUUCGCUACCGCUCCGGUAGUGACUUGUACCAAGGGAGCCAAUACGGAGAUUACAAAGCUACUCAUCGUCCUUGGGAUGAGGAUAACCUGCGAAUAGGAAGCAAAGGGAGGCAACUCAGCAGGGGUUCCAGC